Molecule: ribosomal RNA, 417 nt
Filed under: Providencia rettgeri
Lineage: Bacteria; Pseudomonadati; Pseudomonadota; Gammaproteobacteria; Enterobacterales; Morganellaceae
Description: bacterial SSU rRNA
Rfam family: Bacterial small subunit ribosomal RNA
Source: RNAcentral
UAAUUGAAGAGUUUGAUCAUGGCUCAGAUUGAACGCUGGCGGCAGGCCUAACACAUGCAAGUCGAGCGGUAACAGGGGAAGCUUGCUUCUCGCUGACGAGCGGCGGACGGGUGAGUAAUGUAUGGGGAUCUGCCCGAUAGAGGGGGAUAACCACUGGAAAUGGUGGCUAAUACCGCAUAAUCUCUUAGGAGCAAAGCAGGGGAGCUUCGGUCCUUGCGCUAUCGGAUGAACCCAUAUGGGAUUAGCUAGUAGGUGGGGUAAUGGCUCACCUAGGCGACGAUCCCUAGCUGGUCUGAGAGGAUGAUCAGCCACACUGGGACUGAGACACGGCCCAGACUCCUACGGGAGGCAGCAGUGGGGAAUAUUGCACAAUGGGCGCAAGCCUGAUGCAGCCAUGCCGCGUGUAUGAAGAAGGCC